GGGGUGCUAAGAGACAAAUGAGACGAUGUUUUGUUAUUAGUCAAGUAAGGGAAGUUAUUUAUUUAAAAUUGAUUAUCUUUUGGUAGAAUUGUGGUUUAACUUUGAAUUGGACUAGGUGAAAUUGAUGUAUGAUAUGAAUUGGUUGGUUUGAGAAUGUGACUGGGUGUUUGGAUUCAAUUGAUGGUUGUGCUAAACUUUGAUAUGUGUAAUUUUAGUUGAUGAUGUGUUUGUUUCAAAGAUUGAUAAGUAUGGUUCAAUUGGUUUUAGAGGAUACAUUUAUUUAGUAAUAUUGGUUUUGACUUAUGAGAAGAAAGAAAAAA
This 320-nucleotide long non-coding RNA is filed under the name Vigna radiata. Its description in RNAcentral is "long non-coding RNA (VRAD_LNC007139)". The record is from RNAcentral. Lineage: Eukaryota; Viridiplantae; Streptophyta; Magnoliopsida; Fabales; Fabaceae.